CAAGUCUCAAAUGCUACAGAACAAUACCACAAAAAGAAAAAGAAAAAGCACUAUGAGAACUGAACAAUUAAAUUUUCUCCUCAAGUUAUUAUUGCACAAAUGACAACUAAUCCUUCAAGAAGCAAACAUAAAAAAAAAAUAUUUUCUACAAAAUCUACUGUCAUUACUUCUCUCCAUUUAGUAUAAGUGAACUCUACCCUUACUCAGAUGCGUUUUCCAAAUCUCAUACGAAGAACAGGGAAUCGCUCUAUGCUCAUACAAGUCUCAAAUGCUACAGAACAAUACCACAAAAAGAAAAAGAAAAAGAAAAAGCACUAUGAGAACUGAACAAUUAAAUUUUCUCCUCAAGUUAUUGUUGCACAAAUGACAACUAAUCCUUCAAGAAGCAAACAUAAAAAAAAAAAUAUUUUCUACAAAAUCUACUGUCAUUACUUCUCUCCAUUUAGUAUAAGUGAACUCUACCCUUACUCAGAUGCGUUUUCCAAAUGCAUCAGAUAGGUAUGUCUAACUUCAUAAAACGUUUUCCAAUCGUAGCAAAUUUGACUACUGCAAGAAUCGUCCUAUGCUUCGGGCCUUGCCGAAAGUAAGAAUAGUUUUUCUUCUUUUAUCGUCCAUGAAUUCGAAAUAUGUCAAAUUCAUUGCGGCUCGUACUUGCCAUGAUUACCUCAGCUUGAACAAAGAAUAUUUUGAUCAGCGCACAUAAGGGAACGUCGUCUUCCUUACUCAGAUGCGUUUUCCAAAUGCAUCAGAUAGGUAUGUCUAACUUCAUAAAACGUUUUCCAAUCGUAGCAAAUUUGACUACUGCAAGAAUCGUCCUAUGCUUCGGGCCUUGCCGAAAGUAAGAAUAGUUUUUCUUCUUUUAUCGUCCAUGAAUUCGAAAUAUGUCAAAUUCAUUGCGGCUCGUACUUGCCAUGAUUACCUCAGCUUGAACAAAGAAUAUUUUGAUCAGCGCACUGCUUUGAAUAUCCCAUAUGCUGCAACUUCAGAAACAUGGUGAUUUGGCAUCUAAGGAUUUACAUUGCAAUCACUCAAGAACUGAUUUUGUAGGUUCAGAAACUUCCUCCAAGAACUUUUGUAUUUAGGAAUGCCAAGCUCGAGCCACGGUUUCAUGUUUCCAUUGAAAUGCAAAACCGCUGCUGUCCUCAGGGCAUCGUCUUCAUGACCAUAAUUAAGGCCCAGGCCUGAUAACAUCCAACUGUCAUCAAGAGCAUAAACUUGACCUUGAAAGGUGAGCAUACUUGCACUUAGUGCAGUAGCUUCAGAUAAUCCUUCUUCUGUGCUCAUCUGCUCUUCACAUUGUAUAACAAAGUAAUGGUCAGAAAAUGGGUAGGCAGACAACAGCAGGAACCAUCUAUAAUAUCAAAUUGAUAUAUCAAAUGAUAGUCAAUCAAAAUAUGUGCAAGUGCAGGGACCAUUCAACUGAGACGCCAAAAACAAAUUCAACAAGUGACAGUAGAACAAGUUAAUGAAUUUUUUUUAAAAUUCUCAAUUCAAUCCUUGACAAGUUAUGUAGCAUUCAAAAAAAAUAUACAGGUUUGUUAACAGCCAAACAGGAUUUCAAGCAGGUUAACAAGAAUAAAAUUUUUAAAGUCAUUGGAUUCAGCUUGAGGAGUUGAUUUGGGUCCGCACCCAUGUUAGGUGUGCACGCGCACACGCACGUUUAUUUAAGUAUAUAAUACAUACAUCAGGGAGAACUCAGAAGUGCGGCCAAAGAGCAAGCUGGAUGCUCCGCGUUGAGACAAACCAGACCCACGCUCUUUCCAUUAUCGAUAACAUCCAACUGUCAUCAAGAGCAUAAACUAGACCCCGAAAGGUGAGCAUACUUGCACUUAGUGCAGUAGUUUCAGAUAAUCCUUCUUCUGUGCUCAUCUGUUCUUCACAUUGUAAAAGAAAGUAACGGUCAGAAAAUGGGUAGGUACACGAGCAGGAACAGUCUGUAAAAUCAAACUGCCUGAUAUAUCAAAUGUUAAAUCAAAAAAAUUAUGUGCAAGUACAGGGACCAUUCGACAUAUGACAGUAGAGCGAGUUUGAAUUAUUUUAAAAUUCUCAAUUCGUUUCUUGACAAGUUAU
RNAcentral lists this long non-coding RNA (2070 nucleotides) under Olea europaea (common olive). RNAcentral's name for it is "long non-coding RNA (OEUR_LNC009751)". Lineage: Eukaryota; Viridiplantae; Streptophyta; Magnoliopsida; Lamiales; Oleaceae. The record is from RNAcentral.